Molecule: ribosomal RNA, 228 nt
Filed under: Triticum aestivum (bread wheat)
Lineage: Eukaryota; Viridiplantae; Streptophyta; Magnoliopsida; Poales; Poaceae
Description: partial small subunit ribosomal RNA
Source: RNAcentral
AUGGACCCUUCCACCCCUUUUUCCCGUGCAUAUGCAUCGGACUCGGAUGACGAUGGUCCCGAUGAACAAGUUGAUGCAGAGGGGUUCACGGUGAAGGAGGCCGAAGCUUUCGAGAAGGUAUUUGGUCGGGAUCAUCGGACUACAUUGUUCAAGGAUGUUAGUCUCGCGGAUGAAGCCGUGGUAGAUGGUGGCCAAUGUGUACCUCUUGGGGUUAGGCCAAGCUCUUAU